Strongylocentrotus purpuratus (purple sea urchin) is the source of this 380-nucleotide long non-coding RNA. RefSeq lists it as uncharacterized. Lineage: Eukaryota; Metazoa; Echinodermata; Echinoidea; Camarodonta; Strongylocentrotidae. The record is from RefSeq and is a predicted model, not a curated record. The transcript has 4 exons.
CAAUAUUUUUAUAAUUGCAAGCGCUUGUUACUAAGACUAGUCAUGGCGUCACCGUAAUAUGUAUGAUUUGUGUGUACGGUACGAGUAUACGUAUCGCCUGCGCCUAGCUAGCUGACAACAAAGUCGGAGAAUGGAUUGAAACUAAAGAGCUGAAAGAAGUUAACAACAUGAAGCAGAAAGUCCCAUGCAGGAUGAUGCUUCUCUACAGUGGGUGAUGAAGGCAUGCUGGUUUACAAACUCAGGAGAGGAACAAAGAAGAGAUAUUGACGGGAUCAUAUAUCUAGAGAUGCGGGCCUACUACACUUCAUACGAGCAAGUGUGCUAAUAUACAUACUUGGGUUAUCACUACAGCCCUUUCUUCUGAAAACUAGGCUACAACU